This 511-nucleotide ribosomal RNA is filed under the name uncultured bacterium. RNAcentral describes it as "bacterial SSU rRNA". It matches the Rfam family "Bacterial small subunit ribosomal RNA", at positions 28 to 535 of the family's 1533-position model. The record is from RNAcentral.
GACGAACGCUGGCGGCGUGCCUAACACAUGCAAGUCGAGCGGAGUCGAUCGACGGAAGCCUUCGGGCGGAAGAUGGUUGACUUAGCGGCGGAUGGGUGAGUAACGCGUGGGCAACCUGCCUCGAAGACCGGGAUAACAGCCCGAAAGGGCUGCUAAUACCGGAUGUGGUCAAGGAUCCGCAUGGAUUUUUGAUUAAAGGGGAAACCCGUUUCGAGAUGGGCCCGCGUCCUAUCAGCUAGUUGGUGAGGUAAAAGCUCACCAAGGCGACGACGGGUAGCCGGCCUGAGAGGGUGACCGGCCACACUGGAACUGAGACACGGUCCAGACUCCUACGGGGGGCAGCAGUGGGGAAUCUUCCACAAUGGGCGAAAGCCUGAUGGAGCGACGCCGCGUGAGCGAAGAAGGCCUUCGGUUGUAAGACUCUGUCUGAGGGACGAAGGAAGUGACGGUACCUCCGGACGAAGACCACGGCUAACUACGUAGCCAGCAGCCGCGGUAACUCAUACUCGUA